AUUGAUUGAACAUGUGAUAUUACAACACUAAAUAUGUAUUACAAAGCUAAGCACGUAUUUCUUAUGUAUUUAUACAAAGAUUAGUAAAUUAAAAAACUGUAUAAUACUUAUAUAUAUGGACUAUGGAGAUAAAGAAUAACAUGGAACUAUGAGAAAUCACACCAAUAAAAAAGAUUUUAAUGUGGAUAGAUCAGGAUAAUCGUCCACAUAAAUACAACAAUAAUCUAGCUAUGCAAUUAUGAUGUUUAUUCGACGCCCUUGAUUUCGUGAUCAUUUUCACUACAGGAAUUAUUGAUUGAGUAAUAGAGGUUUCUCAAACAGGUGGAGACAUUAACCUCUAGAAAUAACAUCUGGGGGUCCAGGAUUCUGAACAGGAGGACCCUGAGCGUCUGCACGGAGAAAGAAAAUGGUAUGAAUUUGGAAACUCAAUUAAUAAUACUCCUAUGUUGGAAUUUCUCUUUAAUGAUAACGAAUGGCACUAGCAUGCCAUUAAGCCAUAUAUGGAAGACAGAAGCAGAUGCUUAAUUUGCUGCUAUUAAUACCAAGAAGUUAUAUUAACGGAAUUAACUGUAUGAGCAUAAUGCAUAUAUAAGGUUUACCUAGAGCACGGGCAGUCGCAGAACCCAAAAAAGUACUAAAGAUGAAUAAGAUACAAGAAGCAAGAGCAAGAGCAAUCCACAUCCUAGACUCCAUAGACAAUUUCAUUGUCUACUAGUUUGGCGCUAUUGCUUAAUUAAUUCUCGAUCUUUUUUGUGGCUCUAUAUACACACAUAUUCAAGUCUUAUGCAAUGCCACAUGAACUUCCAG
RNAcentral lists this long non-coding RNA (807 nucleotides) under Lactuca sativa (garden lettuce). RNAcentral's name for it is "long non-coding RNA (LSAT_LNC000058)". The record is from RNAcentral. Lineage: Eukaryota; Viridiplantae; Streptophyta; Magnoliopsida; Asterales; Asteraceae.